UGACCGCUGGCGGCAGGCUUAACACAUGCAAGUCGAGCGGGGGAAGGUAGCUUGCUACCGGACCUAGCGGCGGACGGGUGAGUAAUGCUUAGGAAUCUGCCUAUUAGUGGGGGACAACAUCUCGAAAGGGAUGCUAAUACCGCAUACGUCCUACGGGAGAAAGCAGGGGAUCUUCGGACCUUGCGCUAAUAGAUGAGCCUAAGUCGGAUUAGCUAGUUGGUGGGGUAAAGGCCUACCAAGGCGACGAUCUGUAGCGGGUCUGAGAGGAUGAUCCGCCACACUGGGACUGAGACACGGCCCAGACUCCUACGGGAGGCAGCAGUGGGGAAUAUUGGACAAUGGGGGGAACCCUGAUCCAGCCAUGCCGCGUGUGUGAAGAAGGCCUUAUGGUUGUAAAGCACUUUAAGCGAGGAGGAGGCUACUUUAGUUAAUACCUAGAGAUAGUGGACGUUACUCGCAGAAUAAGCACCGGCUAACUCUGUG
This 483-nucleotide ribosomal RNA is filed under the name uncultured bacterium. Its description in RNAcentral is "partial 16S ribosomal RNA". It matches the Rfam family "Bacterial small subunit ribosomal RNA", at positions 30 to 507 of the family's 1533-position model. The record is from RNAcentral.